GCUUGAGUCCGAGAGAUGAGGGUUGUAUUUCGUAGUGUAGAGCUGAGAUGUGUAGAUAUUGGCCCGAACACCGGUGUCGAAGUUGGGCGCCAAGACCGGUAGAGAAGCUGAGGUGAGAAAGCGUGGUGAGCAAACAGGAUUAGAUAUCUCACUAGUCCACGCGGUAAUCGACCCCCACUUGGUGUAGCGAGUAUCGACACUUGCUCCGCCGAAGCUAAAGCAUUACGUGGGUUUCAUGGGGAGUACGGUCGGAGGGCUGAAACUCAAAGUAAUGCACGUGGGUCCGCACAAGCGGUGGAGCAUGUGGUUCAAUUCGAAGCAACGCGAAGAACUUUACGGGGGUUUGAAGAUCAGUAGAUCGGGGGCGAAAUCUGCCUUUCCCGCAAGGGACUUCUGCUUAGGUGCUGCAUGGUUGUCGUCAGCUCGUGUCGUGAGAUGUUGGGUUAAGUCCCGCAACGAGCGCAACCCCUGCUGCUAGUUGCCAACGGUUCGGCCGGGCACUCUAGUGGGACUGCCGGUGAUAAACCGGAGGAAGGUGGGGAUGACGUCAAGUCCUCAUGGCCUUUAUGUCCAGGGCUACACACGUGCUACAAUGGCCGGUACAAACUGACGCUAAAGCGCGAGCUGGAGCAAAUCAGAAAAAGCCGGUCUCAGUUCGGAUUGUAGUCUGCAACUCGACUACAUGAAGCUGGAAUCGCUAGUAAUCGCGGAUCAGCACGCCGCGGUGAAUACGUUCCCGGGCCUUGUACACACCGCCCGUCACAUCACGAAAGUCGGCUGUACCAGAAGCCGGUGUUCUAACCCGCAAGGGAGGAAGCCGUCUAAGGUAUGGUCGGUAAUUGGGGUGAAGUCGUAACAAGGUAGCUGUAGGAGAACCUGUGGCUGGAUCACCUC
This 894-nucleotide ribosomal RNA is filed under the name uncultured bacterium. RNAcentral describes it as "bacterial SSU rRNA". It matches the Rfam family "Bacterial small subunit ribosomal RNA", at positions 640 to 1529 of the family's 1533-position model. The record is from RNAcentral.